Paramuricea clavata is the source of this 450-nucleotide non-coding RNA. Lineage: Eukaryota; Metazoa; Cnidaria; Anthozoa; Malacalcyonacea; Plexauridae. The record is from the annotation of a GenBank genome assembly.
CUCAAUUUCGCAAAACACCUAUUUGUAUCCUUUUUUUAUACAUAUAGCUUCUUUGGGUACUUAUAAUGUAGAAUAAUGAAAAAAAUUUCUCGAACUCAAAUUUUGUGAACCAGGGAGGUGUGUCUUUUCCAACAAACCAAAAAUGGCUCGCGCACAAAAUUUAAAAGCUGUAAUCAUAUUUCGAGUUAAUAGAUGGAAACUUUGUCGGGUUUUUAAUUACUGUACAAAAUUUCAGACAAUUUGGUUUAGUUUAAGCCCUUUAACUAGUCAUUUUGUUCUAAAAAGUCAGCCUUUCGCAUGCUUAAUUAAUGCAUAUUGCUGACAUUUGCAUAUUGCUGACAUAUGCAAAUUAGGCAAAUGCAUUAAUUAAGCAUGCAAAUAGCUGAUUUUUAGGAAAAAUGUAACUUUGCGUGAAUAGUUAAGGGGCUUAAACUAAACCAAAUUGUCUGA